UGGGGAAUCUUGCACAAUGCGCGAAAGCGUGAUGCAGCAACGCCGCGUGGGGGAAGAAGGCCUUCGGGUUGUAAACCCCUUUCAGUUGGGACGAAGCUUCGCCGGUGAAUAGCCGGCUGGAGUGACGGUACCUUCACAAGAAGCCCCGGCUAACUACGUGCCAGCAGCCGCGGUAAUACGUAGGGGGCAAGCGUUGUCCGGAAUCAUUGGGCGUAAAGCGCGUGUAGGCGGCCCGGUAAGUCCGCUGUGAAAGUCAAGGGCUCAACCCUUGGAUGCCGGUGGAUACUGUCGGGCUAGAGUGCGGGAGAGGCGAGUGGAAUUCCUGGUGUAGCGGUGAAAUGCGCAGAUAUCAGGAGGAACACCGAUUGCGAAGGCAGCUCGCUGGAACGUUACUGACGCUGAGACGCGAAAGCGUGGGGAGC
Molecule: ribosomal RNA, 422 nt
Filed under: uncultured bacterium
Lineage: Bacteria
Description: bacterial SSU rRNA
Rfam family: Bacterial small subunit ribosomal RNA
Source: RNAcentral